Penaeus monodon (black tiger shrimp) is the source of this 943-nucleotide long non-coding RNA. RefSeq lists it as uncharacterized. The record is from RefSeq and is a predicted model, not a curated record. Lineage: Eukaryota; Metazoa; Arthropoda; Malacostraca; Decapoda; Penaeidae. The transcript has 2 exons.
UUGCCAUUGCAUUAUGUGCCUUUAUUGAACCUGAAGAGGAUUAUAAAUUUGAAGCAGACCACCCUUUCUUUUUCUUCAUCAAGGACAAGUUGUCCAAUUUCAUUCUUUUUUCUGGGAGACUUCUAAAACCUUAGCUUUUGAAGCAAUCUUCGUACCAAGAUCUCAAAGAGGUGUGGUGAUGAUGAUGCGUGCAAUGCCCAUGGCGCCGCCGGAAUUCGUAGCAGACCACCCUUUCCUCUUCUACAUUAGAGAUCACCAGUCCGGACUUGUGCUGUUUGCCGGCCGGUUCUCUCGGCCCAGUGCUCCGAGCGUUAAGGAUGAACUGUAGUCUUGUGAAAUCUGCAUUAUUUAUAACACGAGGCACAAUUCAGCGAUUUGAUGAAAUAUAUUCGUGCACAAAUCCUGUUGAAUGUUUGGCCAUUGCAGGUCCUCUGUGUCUCGUGAAGCAUGGAAAUUUAGAAAAGGUUAUGGUUGAUCGUUCUUCUAAGUUGUUGUUUAAAGAUUUGAUUACCCACAUGUUUUCACUGAUAUCUCAAUUAGCUAUAAUUAGUUUGUUUCUCUAAUUAUGUUGAAAUUAGAGAAAACCUCUAUUUAUAUUCUGACUGUCAAUAGAUUAACAAGUUGAUAGUACUAAGAUUCACUUCUGUUUCUUUGUCAUGUAGGAUUUACCUCUAAAUGGUGUACUUUCUGUUGCAUAUGAAUCAGUUAUUUUAUUGCCUAUUUUAACGUGAGGUAACUCAUAACAUAAACGUCUCAAUUUGAUUUUUCUGCAGGUCAUUAAUUAUCAAUAGUGUUAAGUUUUGUCGGGUUGUAAAAUGGAUAUGUAACAUUUAGCUUGUAAAUGUAAACAGAUUUAUAUGCAAAUACCAAAUAUUUGGCUGUAGGAAAUAAAAUAUUCACAUUAUUACACAAGAACUGUAUUCUAAAUAAAUAUAUAUCUCGA